RNAcentral lists this ribosomal RNA (560 nucleotides) under Staphylococcus sp. HMSC064E11. RNAcentral's name for it is "bacterial SSU rRNA". It matches the Rfam family "Bacterial small subunit ribosomal RNA", at positions 943 to 1504 of the family's 1533-position model. Lineage: Bacteria; Bacillati; Bacillota; Bacilli; Caryophanales; Staphylococcaceae. The record is from RNAcentral.
GGUUUAAUUCGAAGCAACGCGAAGAACCUUACCAGGUCUUGACAUCCUUUGACCACUCUAGAGAUAGAGCUUCCCCUUCGGGGGCAAAGUGACAGGUGGUGCAUGGUUGUCGUCAGCUCGUGUCGUGAGAUGUUGGGUUAAGUCCCGCAACGAGCGCAACCCUUAUUGUUAGUUGCCAUCAUUCAGUUGGGCACUCUAGCAAGACUGCCGGUGACAAACCGGAGGAAGGUGGGGAUGACGUCAAAUCAUCAUGCCCCUUAUGACCUGGGCUACACACGUGCUACAAUGGGAAGUACAACGAGUUGCGAAGUCGCGAGGCUAAGCUAAUCUCUUAAAGCUUCUCUCAGUUCGGAUUGCAGGCUGCAACUCGCCUGCAUGAAGCCGGAAUCGCUAGUAAUCGCGGAUCAGCACGCCGCGGUGAAUACGUUCCCGGGCCUUGUACACACCGCCCGUCACACCACGAGAGUUUGUAACACCCGAAGUCGGUGAGGUAACCUUUUGGAGCCAGCCGCCUAAGGUGGGAUAGAUGAUUGGGGUGAAGUCGUAACAAGGUAGCCGUA